This 148-nucleotide non-coding RNA is filed under the name Chlorocebus sabaeus (green monkey). The record is from Rfam by way of RNAcentral. Lineage: Eukaryota; Metazoa; Chordata; Mammalia; Primates; Cercopithecidae.
GCCGGGCGUGGUGGUGCAUGCCUGUAGUCCCAGUUACUUGGGAGGCUGAGGCAGGAGAAUCGCUUGAACUCAGGAGGUGGAGGUUGCAGUGAGCCAAGAUCACCCCAUUGUACUCCAGCCUGGGCAACAGAGCGAGACUCUGUCUCAA